AUGAUUUGAUGAUGACAAAUGGAAGUGCUCGGCCGGGCCAGGACUGAUUUGAUUUGUUCAAUUAGUCAGUCGUCAUAAAUCGGAAAUCGGGAAACAACAAAUGGACAGAGAGAAUGAUUAUAAUCCAUGUCUCAGUCCAUAUGAUAUCUAGAAUGGAGGAAUAUAUGAUCCCUUAUCUAAUGGACAAGUCAUUGACAAAGGUCAGAGUUCAUCGACAAGGUCAGAGUUCGACAGAAGCUUUUGAGAGCUAUGAUUGCUAGUCGGGUUAUGAAGUCAUACUUGCAAUAAUAUUUUUAGACUUAUCCAAGUGGGAUACUAUUGGAUUAAUGUCUAAGUCCAUAACUAUAAUUGGUAAGACUUGACCCGACCUGGCAUGGUCCAUUUGGGGUGCUUGGCAUCGGGACAAUUGGAUUGACAAGAUGAGGAAAAAGGAUACUGUUGAUUUAUAUUAAUAUAUUAUAAGUUCUAAUAUAUUAAUAUAUAAUCAUAUUAUUUAAUUAGUAUUGAUCAAGAAUUAAUCUAGGAUUAAUUAAGUGAUCAAAAGAAGACUAAUUAAAUAUAUGGGUUGAUUGUGUAAAUCAUCCAUACUUGUAUAGUGGGCUAAUGCUCCAUGGAUAAUCAAGUUGGGCUAAAACCCAUAGGAUGGUCCAUGGAUGCUCCAUGGUGUAUUUGUACCCAUGGAUCCAAGGAAAUGGAAAGCCAUGACAAUUAAGAGUUUACCCUAAUUGUGUAACUAUAUAAGCAUCUUAUUAUUGAGGAAAAAUCGGCCACUAGAGAUAGUGAAGAAAGGGCUAGCCGAUUUUGAUGAGUGUAGAAUUCUCUCAAGUCAUUCUAAGUGUUUUGAUGAUUGUGAUUCCAUUUGAGGUGUCACACUUGGGGCACUAGGCACUCAAGCUUCAUGAAGACUUUCUACACCAAAGAGGUAUGUAUUCUAUCUUGCUAUAGUUAUUGUUUUGUAUGCUAGAUUAGGAUAAUACCUUGGAAGUUCUUAUUUGCAUGUAUAAUAGAGAAAACAUAGAUCCAAGGUAUUUAGGGUUGCAUGUACACUUAGGAAGUGUUAGAAUGCUCAAAACCCAACAGUGGUAUCAGAGCCACGGGUUGUUUUCUGUUAUAUUGAUGCAAAUAUUUUAUUUUCAAAGUUGAAAAAAAAAAAAAAAAAAAACAUGAAGUUUGUCAAAUUUUAAGAUAAUUACUUGUUCUUGUGAAAAACUAAUUAUUUGUAAAAUUUGAAUAAUUUGCUUUAUGAGUUGAAUUAGGUCAAAUUUAAUAAAAGAUAAAAUAAUAUGAUUAUUUUAUUAGUUUUAAAAGUUUGAUCUAAAGAGUUUUAUUUUUUGAAACCUCCAUAAGUUAUGGAUAUGAAAAGGUUUUAAAAAAAAAAUUGAUUCAAAGUUUUUUUGGAGUUACAAAAUUUGGUGUUAAUGUUUUAAAGGAUUCCAUAACUUAAGAAUAAGUUAUGGAUCACCAAAAGUUUUUUGUGUUACCUUGUUUUAUGAGUGAAUUUAGAUUAAUGAAUAAAAUUAUGUGAUAGUUGGUUUUAAUCCAAAUUAAUCUAAGAAUUGAUUCUAAAAUGUGUUUUUGUAACUUGUCCUCAAGUUAUAUGAAAAGUCACAUUUAAGAAUCAUAAAACUCAUAAAAAUUGGCAAAGGUUACAAAAAUGAAGAGUCUAGUUCUAAUUAAAUGGUUUUAUGACUCCAUAACUUGUCCUCAAGUUAUGGAGGACCAAGAGUCUCUUCAUUUAAUAAAAUAAAAUAAAAAAAAAAAAAGUGUAACCUUAAUUAAUUCCAUAAGUUAUAAAAUAAAGAAAAGUUAAUUCUUUUAUUAGUUUAAAGUCUUCCAUAACUUGUCCUCAAGUUAUGGAACUUGAAGAGUUUUUGGAUUAAAACUACUUUAAACACAUAAGUUAUGGAAUUAAUUAGUUUUGAAUAGUUUCAAAACUUGCCCUCAAGUUUUGGAAUUUGUAAAGUUUUCACUUAUGAAUACUUUAAUUCCAAGUUAGCCCUUAGAAUUUUAAAAGUUAAAAUUCAACCCUUAUACUUUAUAAUAUUAUAAGUUAAUAAUAUAUAUAUGUAUAAGAGUAAAGUCAGUCUUACCGCUAGUACGCCUCAUUCACGAAGCCGGUCUAUAAGGUGGGUAUAAGGUUGUUGCCUAUAAAAUGGCAACUUAAUGGGUGUCCACUCUCACCCACCGCUUGCUUGACUGGUGGAGGGUCGUUAGCCGAACGGGUUUGACAGGACUAGAAUUCUCCCUUCAUUAAAAGUAUUAAUGAUAAUACUAAGUAACUAAACUCUUAAUAAUACCCAAUCUUAGUUACUUAGGAAAAAUGUGAAUAAGGUGCUAAUCCAUGAAAUUACACUUUACACUUUGUCUAAGUCGUUAGUGGAGCGUGUGUGGUUAACCGGCACACUAACUUGGACUUAACAAGGUAGGUAAAGGGUGACUUAAUAUUUAUCAUAGUAUCGAUGGAGCGUGUGUGGUUAACCGGCACAUCGAUUGAGGGGUAAUUUAUUAAGGGUACCAAGUGAUUUGCAUGGUUACUUCACACCUUGUUUUGUGAUCCUCGGCAUCCCAGUCACAAAACCUGAAGGGCACACUCGAGAUUGAAACAUGCCUUUGAAAAGUUCAAUGAAUCUCAAAGAUCUAGGAGUUUCAAAACCAAUUAAAACCUAAUAAUACAUUUCGUUUAUCUUGGUGGAAAUUGGUGAAUCGUCAUUCACCUACCUUCAAAUAUUUUAUAGCUUGGAUUACGGCAUACCUCUUCUAAGUUAUAAAAUAGUUUGUUGGGUCCUAGCCUUAAUAUUUCAUAUUGGGUGUCAUAUUAAGGACUUUAAAUCAACUAUCUUGAAUAUCUCCCAAAAGAUGUCUGGUUUAGACACCUAUGAUCUUCCCAAAUCUCUUGAAACAAGGUUUCCUAAUGAAGAUGAUGUCCCAUGGAUAUCAUACUUCUUCACCUCUUCAAAUUAUUCUCCCUAACCCACAAGUUCUUGAAAAGUUUAAGGUCACUCAGGCCCUUUUGGCAAGGCAAGGUCUAGGUGUGGUCACAUCUUGGAGAUGUAGUCACAUAUUGACAAGCCGGGAGAGUUGGGUGUCAAAGUCUUGAGAAAGUUGGUGGUUCAACUACUUUCUAAGUCACAUAGUGAGUUCUUUUGGAACACCUAUGAAAAAGACUAUGACAAGACCCUUAAUGAUCUUAUCUAUUUGUUAAGAUCAACUUCCUAAAACUUUAUGGACAUUGACAAUGAUGACAUUGGAUAUCCAGUAAAGCAUUCUCUUCCCAAUGGAAAGGGAUCGGCUAUAGUCAACUCGGUUGACCAAAUGGUAAAGAGAAAAGCUAAGUCUGUGAUAGUCCUGUGUACCAUUAUCAAAGGGUCCAUAUGUUUGUAUUGCCAAAGAAAGGGCAUUGGUUGCGAAGCUGCCAAAUUUACCUAAGGAUGUUAAAGUCAAUAAGUUUGACUCUACUUCAGGUAAAAUCCACUAUCUAACUCUGUUAAGUUUCUAUUCUGAGAUUCUUGAUACAUGAUGUGACCGGGUCGCAUGGUGAUGGUUUAAGAAUCAAAGGAAAGUGAAGAAACUUAAAGGAAGAAUAUGCUGAAUCUGAUCGCAUAGAUGGAUUUCUAUCGCAUAGUUUGAAAAAUCGGAUUCUUGAGCUACUUCUUAGGAGUUAUGAGAUAUUGCUUAGGAAUAGAUAACAACAAGUUUUCAUAUGGAUUGUAAGGAUAGUUUUUCCGCAAAGUUUUAAAAUAAAAGGAAAUUUUUGAUUUUAUUUAUUUUAAAAUAUCCUUACAAUGGCAUCUGUGGAAAUUUUUGUUGCUUAUAAGAUUCCAUUAGUAGCAAGAGUGGAAGUAUGAAAUUGAUUCUUUCAUUUGUGGUAAUGUCUAAAUUUACCAAAUAAGGAAAGAUUCUCAUCACCCAAGUUUCAAUUGGACCGGAACUUGGAAUCAUGCAAGUUGUAUAGCAUGAUGAAUGAGAACUUUCAAGUUUUGGAAAAUUAAGACUAAUUACUUGUUCACAUGGAUGUGUGAGUCAAGUAAAGGACUUAGGGAUCGAGUACACAUUCUUGUGCACUGAUUAAGUCCACCACUAAAGAUCGAUAAGAAGAAUCAAAUAAGGCAGAAGGAUAAAAGUUUCUCAAAUCUGAAAAGAUGGGAGAGUACUUUAGUAUCAGUUUUGUGAUCAUCUUAAUGAUUAAGAAACCAUAUCAAAAUUAGUUCUCUAAGGAAAUCUUAGUGCAUUCUUAUGACUAAGAAGAGGAACUUGAAUUGUUGAAAUGGUUAAAUCAAGAAGAUGAGUCAUACUUCGUUCCAAUACAAGUCUUAGAGUCAUACUCCAAGAUUGUCAUUUGAGUGACAUGUCUUAAAGAAGGUUUAAAACACUUGUCAAAUGUAAGAGUAAAAGUUUUCUACUCUUGUACAUUUGAAAUUGGUAAGUUGUGAUGUUUUGGAUAAAACAAAGACCAACUUAGGCCAAUUGGGUAAAGUGUUUUUCUUGAUUAGAAUCCGCACUAUCUCUUGGAUGUUUGACAAGGGAGUCUUAUAUGUCAAGAGGACAGUGGGAGUCUUAAAGGUCUUGAAAGUCUCAAGAACUAAUCAAGAAUAAAACCUGAAGUUCUUCACUAGCACACGACUUGAGGUUUAUAACCUAUCGUGUUGACAUAUUCUGUGCCCAUUCCAGUUAAAGUUGGCUUUGCAUAUGAGUUCUUAGAGUUCUCAAUUUGUUGCACAACAACUUGGAAGCAAUGGCAGGCCCUUGAGCUGCCAGGUGGCAAGAAAUUAAGAUUGAGUUCAGUCCAUAUGAGUUUGGAUUUGUCAUUAUCCUUGUCUUGUGACUAUGAUUUUGACAAUUCACAUGGAUAAGAACACAUACACCAUUAAAUCUAAGUGUCAUAAGGUUUCUCUCCGAUUCAUGAAAAUGAUGGUGAGGAAACACUUUCACUAAGUAGAUUUUAGCUAGAUAGCAAUUGUGAUAUUUGCAUUCUCAAAGUCGUUAGUGGAGCGCGUGUGGUUAACCGGCACACUAACCUGGACUUGUGAGAAGUGGCAAAAAGGUCUAAACAUUAUGAUUACGGCAUCCCUCUUCAUAAUUGUUUAGACACACAAGUGUGCUAUCUAAGGGAAGGUGUAUGAUUUUGAUAAAGUUUUAUCAAAACAAUCUAGUAUCAGAAAUCUGAACUUUGGUAAGAAAGUCAAUGAAGUAUUGAUUUCUAGAAGUCCAGCUGAUUUCUGAGUACAUGUCAAAGCUAGUGGGAGCAUAAGUGUUAUGCUAAUAAUCAUCAUGUUAGUGGGAGCAUGAUAAUUAUGAUAAGUAUUGCAAGUUAGCAAUGUUAAUUAUAGAAAACAAAAGUUUCAAUUGGGAAAAAGUUGUUUUGCUAUAAUUAAGGGAGAGGAAAUUAUACUUCAUCUCAAAUCUAUAAGCUUAGAUCGUGAGGUUUUAAUCAUUUAGUCAAGGAUAUAUAUGAAUUUCAUGUUGGAAUGGCUCAACAUAAGGAAAUUCUGUAUAUGGGUCCAUUAUUUGCGUUCUAAAAUUCGAUUAUGAUUACGGCAUCCCUUUUCAUAAUCUGAAUUAUGAGAACUUGGCAAAUUGAAAUGGAAAUAUUAUAGCAAAAGACUGGUUUAGUCUUUAUGUGAGACAUCAUGAAUCGUGUCCCAUAUGCUUCGGAUAUAGGAUCGAUUACAUGUGCUAUAUUCAUCCGUUCUAAAAUUUUCCAAAUGCCUGGGGCAUUAAGAAGGGAAAAGGUUUAGAACUGGAUAUGACUAAAAGGAUUAAACAAUUGUCGAGGACAAUCUAAGGUUUACCAAAGAUUGGUUACUCAAGGACAAUUGGAAGUAUAGUGAUAAUUCUGGAAGGACCAUAUUGACAUAAUCUGUAAGGAGGCAACUCUUGUUCAGAAGUGAUAGUCAAAAUGGAAUCUGGAAAUGUUUCAAAGUUAGAAUUUUCAAUCUGUGUAAGAUUAAGGAAACUUAAUGCAAGAAGGAUGUUUCCAAGGAGUUGAUCUCCUUUGGAAUGCUCUGUAAUGUUUGUUGUCAAGUCUUUAUGACUUUGUGCAUAAUCAUUACAAGAGGAUCAAUGCAUAUAAGUUUAGAAUCUAACAGAUUUCAGUAAAUGGCAUGAAUUUGGAAUUCUUGCAUUUGCAGUAAGGAUUUGGGAGUGUGAAAAGAGAAUCAUUGAAGUUAUGUUCAAUUGAUCUAGUUCACAAAGUAAAGAUCAUAGACAAACAUAGUAUGCAUACUUGGUGUGUGGCAUGACUAGUGUUUAAGAAAACAUAGUGUACAUGCUUGGAGCAUGGGACAACUAUUGUUUUAAAUUCAAGAAUAAAGUUGAUAGCUGAAACAGUAUACAAUGAAUAAUGUGUAAUCAUAUGGUGAUAAAUAAAAGGUGUUUUAUUUAUGUUCAAAGGGUUGAUACCAUAUUGGAUUCAAUUAUUAUUGUGUUUCAUUUUGCAUGUUUUGACUUCCCGAAUAAACUAGGUUAUUCUUCCGGAAUGACUAAGUUAUUCAAACCAUCCACAGUCGGUCAUAUGUUGGAAGUAGAUAUGAAUUAAGACUGUCAUGGGUUGGCUUGUAGAGGUCUAAGGUGUUGGACAAAGGGCUACAACACUCAUGAGUGCUCAUAAGGUCUGAGUAUUGGAUUCAACCCGCGCUCAUUGGAAUCACUUCAUGGAUUUUAUCACGAGUGAUCGUGAGACGAUAAUAUCUUAUAUUCUUCAAACCUAGAGAUAUGAGUUGUUACUAUGAGUUGGUUAUACAUUGAGCGCACGAAAACGCAUUGGUAACUCGAUGUUAUAAAACGUGCCUUUGUGUAUGAUUCAACAAGUAGUAGAACAAGCCAUAUGAGUCGAAGUUAUCUGUUCCUUCUUGGAUUAGAAGCUGAUAUCUGGGCCCCUCGAUGAUUUUGUUUUGACCCAUGUACCGGGCCCGGUCAGAACUAAGUUGAUGUGUUCAAUUAAGUUCUAUGUCAAACAAAUCGGAAAUCGGGAAACAAANNNNNNNNNNNNNNNNNNNNNNNNNNNNNNNNNNNNNNNNNNNNNNNNNNNNNNNNNNNNNNNNNNNNNNNNNNNNNNNNNNNNNNNNNNNNNNNNNNNNUUCAUCGGCAAGGUCAGAGUUCGACAGAAGCUUUUGAGAGCUAUGAUUGCUAGUCGGGUUAUGAAGUCAUACUUGCAAUAAUAUUUUUAGACUUAUCCAAGUGGGAUACUAUUGGAUU
This 7194-nucleotide long non-coding RNA is filed under the name Lactuca sativa (garden lettuce). RNAcentral's name for it is "long non-coding RNA (LSAT_LNC006594)". The record is from RNAcentral. Lineage: Eukaryota; Viridiplantae; Streptophyta; Magnoliopsida; Asterales; Asteraceae.